This 448-nucleotide ribosomal RNA is filed under the name uncultured bacterium. RNAcentral describes it as "bacterial SSU rRNA". It matches the Rfam family "Bacterial small subunit ribosomal RNA", at positions 329 to 793 of the family's 1533-position model. The record is from RNAcentral.
ACCCAGACUCCUACGGGAGGCAGCAGUGGGGGAUAUUACACAAUGGGGGAAACCCUGAUGCAGCGACGCCGCGUGUGGGAAGACGGUCUUCUGGAUUGUAAACCACUGUCCCCAGGGACGAAAAUGACGGUACCUGGGGAGGAAGCUCCGGCUAACUACGUGCCAGCAGCCGCGGUAAUACGUAGGGAGCAAGCGUUGUCCGGAAUUACUGGGUGUAAAGGGAGCGCAGGCGGCACGGCAAGCCUGAUGUGAAAGCCCGCGGCCCAACCGCGGGACUGCAUUGGGAACUACCGGGCUGGAGUGCCGGAGAGGUAGGCGGAAUUCCUAGUGUAGCGGUGAAAUGCGUAGAUAUUAGGAGGAACACCAGUGGCGAAGGCGGCUUACUGGACGGUGACUGACGCUGAGGCUCGAAAGCGUGGGGAGCAAACAGGAUUAGAUACCCCCGUAA